Molecule: non-coding RNA, 115 nt
Organism: Caerostris extrusa
Lineage: Eukaryota; Metazoa; Arthropoda; Arachnida; Araneae; Araneidae
Source: the annotation of a GenBank genome assembly
AACGGCCAUACCAUGCUGAAUAUACCGGUUCUCGUUAGAUCACCGAAGUCAAGCAUCAUUGGGCGCGGUCAGUACUUGGGUGGGUGACCACCUGGGAUGGGAACACCGCGUGCCG